Molecule: transfer RNA, 69 nt
Filed under: Marmota monax (woodchuck)
Lineage: Eukaryota; Metazoa; Chordata; Mammalia; Rodentia; Sciuridae
Description: tRNA.Undet
Source: RNAcentral
GGAUGUAGCUCAGUUGGUAGAGUGUUUGCCUCAGCAUGCACAAGGCCCUAGGUUGGAUCCUUAGCACCA